RNAcentral lists this ribosomal RNA (122 nucleotides) under Bacillus thuringiensis serovar aizawai. Lineage: Bacteria; Bacillati; Bacillota; Bacilli; Caryophanales; Bacillaceae. The record is from RNAcentral.
UCUGGUAAUGAUGGCAGAGAGGUCACACCCGUUCCCAUACCGAACACGGAAGUUAAGCUCUCUAGCGCCGAUGGUAGUUGGGACCUUGUCCCUGUGACUGUGAGAGUAGGACGUUGCCAGGC